Molecule: long non-coding RNA, 1946 nt
Organism: Dermacentor andersoni
Lineage: Eukaryota; Metazoa; Arthropoda; Arachnida; Ixodida; Ixodidae
Source: RefSeq, a predicted model, not a curated record
CCUACCCCGUCGUAGCAAGUGCUGCUUCCUGCAGAGAAUAGACUGGUGUCAGGAGACACUACACUUUCAAAUCUAUCGGAGCAACUGGCAUCAUUUUACUGCUUACUACGGAUAGCCUAAGCUUCAGAGAGGCUUCUGAACAGGAAGCUGCUUUGCUUAGGACUGUGACUCAUCGAUUCACGAGUGUGAUGAAAUAAUAAUACGCGACGUCUGGUGACUACAAUACCACCAUCGCAAGUUACUUCAAAACAUCUCUUCAAACAAGUGAGGCAGCAAGUCACCGAAAAACUGGGCCGUGCCCUUACAUGGGAGGAAGAAACCAGUGGCUAUUCUGACAUUCGCCGGACCAAGCCAACGCGUAAACCAAGCAGAAUUUCGCCAGCCUCGAGAACGGACAUAUUCCCAAACGGAGUACAUCCAACAUCUAUGGAGCGUGACCUCAGUAGGGACUUGCAACGGCUUCGUUUAGAUGCCGCCGGCACCGAUGCGCAGGCAGAUGGAGGAAACAUCGCCGACAAGGAGCCGACCCCCGAAGCCCUUGGUCCGGACGAUGGCAUUUGUCCAGAGGCUGGGUUGUCUGCUUCCUCACGCUACCCACACCGGCCACCGCCUUGUCGCUGCUCGAAUUGCUACAUGGAACGAAGGCUCCGGGUGCACUCUCAAAGUUACCGACGCAAUUCGUUCCCGGAAUGGUAUCGCGACAUGUGGUGGUGUUACAACAUAAAAAUGCGGCGUGCAGGCUGCGGAAUCAGGCGGUUUCUAUGGGAGCAUCGACGGGAGGCUCGCCGCAACGUCUUGGAACGGCAGCCGCCGCAGUCCGAGUGCUAACAUGGUUCCAAGAGGACUUCACCCAGAAGAAUGGCCAAGGAGUCAGCCUGAAAUGGAAAUACCACAAUGUUGGUGUGCUCAGCAAGCUGCACACAGAGCAAUGGUGUACUGGAUGCAUUGUAUUGUUUUGCAGCUUUACUGAGAGAACCACAACUCCAACUAGGUUUCAUCAAAAAACGCCAUGGCUUUUUUUUUUUUAAAUUAAGAGCUGCAAAAUCUUUCCAUAUUAAUGCUGCAUGCAUUGCACAGCUGCAUAGUCCCCUGCUAUACAUGCGAUGUCCAUACAACUUAAUGUGGCCAGAAAAGAAUAGACUUUAUGACAUAUUUCUAUGCAAAACAAAAUUUAUGACUUGCAAACUUAGUUAAGAUAUUCUUAAAAAGGUCUGCUUGAUUUCAUCCUCUUCAGAAGGCAUUGCUAAAUAUAUACAUGGAGCAAUGCCUUCUGAAGAGAAUGAAAUCAAGCAGACCUUGUUGCUCACAUAACAUGCAGUAGGCUUUUAUUUGUAGAGCAGAUCUUGCAGCUUGAGCAGCAGUUGUGGACCACCUCCAGCUACUGAGAAUCGCUUGGGCGGCUGGACAAUACUCUUGACAGAAAACAUCCUAUAUAUAAAGAGGAAUUGCUGGACUGUUGUAGGUCCUCCGCCAACAUGUCUGACAAUGCCAAAAAAAAAACUCCAAAACAAAAAAAAUGCUUGGGUAUUUACCUCACAGGCUGGAAAAUGCAGUUGUAUGCCUCUAAUGGGUCCUGUCCAAUCUUUCCCACCAGUACAAGGCGAAAACCUGCUGCAAGAAGGUUCUAAACAAGGGAUAUUGUACUUAGCAUUUGUAGUGGCAGCAGUUGCCUGUCCAUACAACGCUCUCUUUCAGUGUAUGUAAAGUAAUAGUUUUCUGCGAGAAAUCAGAGGUAUGUAUGAGGCCAAAAGCGUAAUCCUUACAGCAGCCUGCUCAGCUUCGUUUUACUGCACAUGAUGGUCCUCCGAGAGUUGAAGUAGUCAAAUAAUCUGUUCAUUCUUCUGGUGAAUUCAGAUGUUGCUGCAGACUCAUGGAGCUUCUUGCAUGCUUCCUGCUCACUGUAGAAAUCCGUGGCUAUAGCUGUGAAUUGGAAAUAAAAUUUUUUC